CAGCAGCCGCGGGAAUACGUAGGGUGCGAGCGUUAAUCGGAAUUACUGGGCGUAAAGCGUGCGCAGGCGGUUAUAUAAGACAGAUGUGAAAUCCCCGGGCUCAACCUGGGACCUGCAUUUGUGACUGUAUAGCUAGAGUACGGUAGAGGGGGAUGGAAUUCCGCGUGUAGCAGUGAAAUGCGUAGAUAUGCGGAGGAACACCGAUGGCGAAGGCAACCCCCUGGACCUGUACUGACGCUCAUGCACGAAAGCGUGGGGAGCAAACAGGAUUAGAUACCCCAGUAGUCCCUGUCUCUUAUAC
Molecule: ribosomal RNA, 301 nt
Filed under: uncultured bacterium
Lineage: Bacteria
Description: partial 16S ribosomal RNA
Rfam family: Bacterial small subunit ribosomal RNA
Source: RNAcentral